UACGUAGGGGGCAAGCGUUGUCCGGAAUUAUUGGGCGUAAAGAGCGCGUAGGCGGUCCGAUAAGUCAGCUGUGAAAGUCAAGGGCUCAACCCUUGAAAGCCGGUUGAUACUGUCGGGCUAGAGUCCGGAAGAGGCGAGUGGAAUUCCCGGUGUAGCGGUGAAAUGCGCAGAUAUCAGGAGGAACACCAAUUGCGAAGGCAGCUCGCUGGGACGUUACUGACGCUGAGACGCGAAAGCGUGGGGAGCAAACAGG
Molecule: ribosomal RNA, 253 nt
Filed under: uncultured bacterium
Lineage: Bacteria
Description: partial 16S ribosomal RNA
Rfam family: Bacterial small subunit ribosomal RNA
Source: RNAcentral